Molecule: ribosomal RNA, 570 nt
Filed under: Pseudoduganella albidiflava
Lineage: Bacteria; Pseudomonadati; Pseudomonadota; Betaproteobacteria; Burkholderiales; Oxalobacteraceae
Description: bacterial SSU rRNA
Rfam family: Bacterial small subunit ribosomal RNA
Source: RNAcentral
CGGCGAGUGGCGAACGGGUGAGUAAUAUAUCGGAACGUGCCCAAGAGUGGGGGAUAACGUAGCGAAAGUUACGCUAAUACCGCAUACGAUCUAUGGAUGAAAGCAGGGGACCGCAAGGCCUUGUGCUCCUGGAGCGGCCGAUAUCUGAUUAGCUAGUUGGUGAGGUAAAGGCUCACCAAGGCGACGAUCAGUAGCUGGUCUGAGAGGACGACCAGCCACACUGGAACUGAGACACGGUCCAGACUCCUACGGGAGGCAGCAGUGGGGAAUUUUGGACAAUGGGGGCAACCCUGAUCCAGCAAUGCCGCGUGAGUGAAGAAGGCCUUCGGGUUGUAAAGCUCUUUUGUCAGGGAAGAAAAGGGUACGGCUAAUAUCCGUACCUCAUGACGGUACCUGAAGAAUAAGCACCGGCUAACUACGUGCCAGCAGCCGCGGUAAUACGUAGGGUGCAAGCGUUAAUCGGAAUUACUGGGCGUAAAGCGUGCGCAGGCGGUUUUGUAAGUCUGACGUGAAAUCCCCGGGCUUAACCUGGGAAUGGCGUUGGAGACUGCAAGGCUGGAAUCUGGCAGA